ACGGCAAUUACAGAAUACAGGCCGAGUUUGUUUCUGAGAGCAGAAGACAAGUCAGAGGAGAUUCAUGGACAGGUUCAAGAUAUGAUCGACAGUCUGAGCUCGGCCGCGAGACGAGCGAGUGACGGUGACGCCAGUGACGUCAAGCGUGACGGACAGCUUCUGGGUUUCGGAGGCCGGUGUGGUUGGUACAACGACAAGUGUUCCGCUUGGACCACCCACUGCUGUGAUCCUUGGAAGUGCAAGUACCAGAAAUGGACCCAUCGCUUCUCCAAGACUGGGGGUCGCUGCCUCUAGACGCUGAGGUCGAUUAAUA
Long non-coding RNA from Haliotis rubra (blacklip abalone), 313 nucleotides. RefSeq lists it as uncharacterized. The transcript has 3 exons. NCBI's taxonomy places the organism in Eukaryota, Metazoa, Mollusca, Gastropoda, Lepetellida, Haliotidae. The record is from RefSeq and is a predicted model, not a curated record.